Molecule: transfer RNA, 59 nt
Filed under: Pseudonocardia endophytica
Lineage: Bacteria; Bacillati; Actinomycetota; Actinomycetes; Pseudonocardiales; Pseudonocardiaceae
Description: tRNA-Ala
Source: RNAcentral
GGCGACGAACCCCCGCCUUUGCAAGGCGGGGGUUAGGGGUUCGUUUCCCCUCGUCUCCA